Molecule: small RNA, 28 nt
Filed under: Arabidopsis thaliana (thale cress)
Lineage: Eukaryota; Viridiplantae; Streptophyta; Magnoliopsida; Brassicales; Brassicaceae
Description: ATSL112460
Source: RNAcentral
AGUUGAGAAGACAGUGGAAGAACUCACC